Molecule: ribosomal RNA, 2899 nt
Filed under: Shigella dysenteriae
Lineage: Bacteria; Pseudomonadati; Pseudomonadota; Gammaproteobacteria; Enterobacterales; Enterobacteriaceae
Description: bacterial LSU rRNA
Rfam family: Bacterial large subunit ribosomal RNA
Source: RNAcentral
UUAAGCGACUAAGCGUACACGGUGGAUGCCCUGGCAGUCAGAGGCGAUGAAGGACGUGCUAAUCUGCGAUAAGCGUCGGUAAGGUGAUAUGAACCGUUAUAACCGGCGAUUUCCGAAUGGGGAAACCCAGUGUGUUUCGACACACUAUCAUUAACUGAAUCCAUAGGUUAAUGAGGCGAACCGGGGGAACUGAAACAUCUAAGUACCCCGAGGAAAAGAAAUCAACCGAGAUUCCCCCAGUAGCGGCGAGCGAACGGGGAGCAGCCCAGAGCCUGAAUCAGUGUGUGUGUUAGUGGAAGCGUCUGGAAAGGCGCGCGAUACAGGGUGACAGCCCCGUACACAAAAAUGCACAUGCUGUGAGCUCGAUGAGUAGGGCGGGACACGUGGUAUCCUGUCUGAAUAUGGGGGACCAUCCUCCAAGGCUAAAUACUCCUGACUGACCGAUAGUGAACCAGUACCGUGAGGGAAAGGCGAAAAGAACCCCGGCGAGGGGAGUGAAAAAGAACCUGAAACCGUGUACGUACAAGCAGUGGGAGCCUCUUUAUGGGGUGACUGCGUACCUUUUGUAUAAUGGGUCAGCGACUUAUAUUCUGUAGCAAGGUUAACCGAAUAGGGGAGCCGAAGGGAAACCGAGUCUUAACUGGGCGUUAAGUUGCAGGGUAUAGACCCGAAACCCGGUGAUCUAGCCAUGGGCAGGUUGAAGGUUGGGUAACACUAACUGGAGGACCGAACCGACUAAUGUUGAAAAAUUAGCGGAUGACUUGUGGCUGGGGGUGAAAGGCCAAUCAAACCGGGAGAUAGCUGGUUCUCCCCGAAAGCUAUUUAGGUAGCGCCUCGUGAAUUCAUCUCCGGGGGUAGAGCACUGUUUCGGCAAGGGGUCAUCCCGACUUACCAACCCGAUGCAAACUGCGAAUACCGGAGAAUGUUAUCACGGGAGACACACGGCGGGUGCUAACGUCCGUCGUGAAGAGGGAAACAACCCAGACCGCCAGCUAAGGUCCCAAAGUCAUGGUUAAGUGGGAAACGAUGUGGGAAGGCCCAGACAGCCAGGAUGUUGGCUUAGAAGCAGCCAUCAUUUAAAGAAAGCGUAAUAGCUCACUGGUCGAGUCGGCCUGCGCGGAAGAUGUAACGGGGCUAAACCAUGCACCGAAGCUGCGGCAGCGACGCUUAUGCGUUGUUGGGUAGGGGAGCGUUCUGUAAGCCUGUGAAGGUGUGCUGUGAGGCAUGCUGGAGGUAUCAGAAGUGCGAAUGCUGACAUAAGUAACGAUAAAGCGGGUGAAAAGCCCGCUCGCCGGAAGACCAAGGGUUCCUGUCCAACGUUAAUCGGGGCAGGGUGAGUCGACCCCUAAGGCGAGGCCGAAAGGCGUAGUCGAUGGGAAACAGGUUAAUAUUCCUGUACUUGGUGUUACUGCGAAGGGGGGACGGAGAAGGCUAUGUUGGCCGGGCGACGGUUGUCCCGGUUUAAGCGUGUAGGCUGAUUUUCCAGGCAAAUCCGGAAAAUCAAGGCUGAGGCGUGAUGACGAGGCACUACGGUGCUGAAGCAACAAAUGCCCUGCUUCCAGGAAAAGCCUCUAAGCAUCAGGUAACAUCAAAUCGUACCCCAAACCGACACAGGUGGUCAGGUAGAGAAUACCAAGGCGCUUGAGAGAACUCGGGUGAAGGAACUAGGCAAAAUGGUGCCGUAACUUCGGGAGAAGGCACGCUGAUAUGUAGGUGAAGUCCCUCGCGGAUGGAGCUGAAAUCAGUCGAAGAUACCAGCUGGCUGCAACUGUUUAUUAAAAACACAGCACUGUGCAAACACGAAAGUGGACGUAUACGGUGUGACGCCUGCCCGGUGCCGGAAGGUUAAUUGAUGGGGUCAGCGCAAGCGAAGCUCUUGAUCGAAGCCCCGGUAAACGGCGGCCGUAACUAUAACGGUCCUAAGGUAGCGAAAUUCCUUGUCGGGUAAGUUCCGACCUGCACGAAUGGCGUAAUGAUGGCCAGGCUGUCUCCACCCGAGACUCAGUGAAAUUGAACUCGCUGUGAAGAUGCAGUGUACCCGCGGCAAGACGGAAAGACCCCGUGAACCUUUACUAUAGCUUGACACUGAACAUUGAGCCUUGAUGUGUAGGAUAGGUGGGAGGCUUAGAAGUGUGGACGCCAGUCUGCAUGGAGCCGGCCUUGAAAUACCACCCUUUAAUGUUUGAUGUUCUAACGUGGACCCGUAAUCCGGGUUGCGGACAGUGUCUGGUGGGUAGUUUGACUGGGGCGGUCUCCUCCUAAAGAGUAACGGAGGAGCACGAAGGUUGGCUAAUCCUGGUCGGACAUCAGGAGGUUAGUGCAAUGGCAUAAGCCAGCUUGACUGCGAGCGUGACGGCGCGAGCAGGUGCGAAAGCAGGUCAUAGUGAUCCGGUGGUUCUGAAUGGAAGGGCCAUCGCUCAACGGAUAAAAGGUACUCCGGGGAUAACAGGCUGAUACCGCCCAAGAGUUCAUAUCGACGGCGGUGUUUGGCACCUCGAUGUCGGCUCAUCACAUCCUGGGGCUGAAGUAGGUCCCAAGGGUAUGGCUGUUCGCCAUUUAAAGUGGUACGCGAGCUGGGUUUAGAACGUCGUGAGACAGUUCGGUCCCUAUCUGCCGUGGGCGCUGGAGAACUGAGGGGGGCUGCUCCUAGUACGAGAGGACCGGAGUGGACGCAUCACUGGUGUUCGGGUUGUCAUGCCAAUGGCACUGCCCGGUAGCUAAAUGCGGAAGAGAUAAGUGCUGAAAGCAUCUAAGCACGAAACUUGCCCCGAGAUGAGUUCUCCCUGACUCCUUGAGAGUCCUGAAGGAACGUUGAAGACGACGACGUUGAUAGGCCGGGUGUGUAAGCGCAGCGAUGCGUUGAGCUAACCGGUACUAAUGAACCGUGAGGCUUAACCUU